Long non-coding RNA from Setaria italica (foxtail millet), 2715 nucleotides. RefSeq lists it as uncharacterized. The transcript is spliced from 7 exons. The record is from RefSeq and is a predicted model, not a curated record. Lineage: Eukaryota; Viridiplantae; Streptophyta; Magnoliopsida; Poales; Poaceae.
AUCCGUCUGCCUCUUGCCUCCCUUUUUCCCCGAUCCUGCAUAACUCCUCCCAUCGGACUCUUCUUUUUUCCGGAUCCACUUUCCUCCUCCCGUCAACCUCCUCCUGCCGCCGCCGACGCCCGUCUGCAUCGCCCUAAGGCCGGCCUGGUAAAUCCUGUAGGCCAAUCAAGAGAAGCAUCGAACGUGCUCUGCCCCUAUGGGGAAUUACCACAAAUUGUUUGAAAGAGGGGCCAGUUGAACAAGGUUACGCUUCGACAAAAAAAUUGAAAAAAUUUGGAAUUAAUUUUCUUCAUGGAAAAAUUUGGAAAGCGGAACAAAGGACUUGUCAGCAGUUUUUUUUAUUCACCUGACUUUAUGAAUUUGAUAACAAUAUGAUACAAAUGCAACAGAUCAGAAGGGCAGUGCCUAGACCUGUUUUUUUUUUUCAAACCAGACAGUUCCCAGACUUGAGAGGGUUCCAGUGGCCAUCUUGACGCCUCACCUGCAGGAUCUGAAAUAACAUCAAUCAACUUGCUGCUGACCUACUGAGAUGCAGUAGCAGACUUUCAUGCAAAAUAAGGAGACAUGCAAAUGAUUUGGCUGGUGCAUAUAGGAUGCAUUUUGCACCAAUGAUACCAGUGAAGGAAGUGUCACAGAGAGGAAUCACGCUGUGCUUGUCCUCGACACUGCUUCCUGCUCCUCUCCAUCAAUAUCCAGCGGUUCUCCACUGAGAUCGACUGGCCGUGGUUGUGGUUAUCACCUGGCUUGCCGGCCGUCGUGUUGCAGCAAGUCCUGUGCUCGUGUGGCCGCAAGUCUUAGUUCUGAUGGCCGAGGGGUUGUGCUGUUCGCCUGGUCGGUGCACCUGGUCGUGGCAAGUCUUGGUCACGGUGAUCACCUUGCCGGUGGAGUGGCUGCGGGGUGAGUUCCUGUCUUGAGUGGUGCAAAAUUGAUCCACGGGUGAGUUGGUGUUAUCCACUUGCAAUGUGAUUCCAUGUUGAAUUUUGAUGGCUAUCCUUCGUUCAAACAAGGUACCUGGGAACUUGGAUUACCCUUUCCUGAACCAAAACAAUGAAAGACAGCCACUCAUAGUUGAUUAGAUUUGUUGUCUAAGAAACCAUACUGCAUUGUCACACAUAGUUGGUUAAUUAUUACGUGGUCUUCAGUUUGGUUCCCUGUUUUGAUUAUCUAUUAAGGUGAUGGCACUGAUUUAACUAAAAGCUGUUGCCUCACAUUCAGAGUUUGUGGACAAUAAAUUUCUGAGAUGUGAUGCAAAGAAAUAUAAUCAUGAGGUUUGCUUGUAGGAAGACACUGUGCUUACCAUACAGAGUAGUGCUUGAUAUUUCAGGGUGAAGUGCAUUUCUCUGAUAGUUUUAUUUAUACCUAAUCAUAGGUUUUCCCUGUAGCUAAUUAUAGGUUGCAGGUUAUUUUACUAAUUUCAGAGAAAUUUGCAACAUGCUGCCUUGGAGCAACUCUGAAUCUGAAGUAAACAAACUGAACCUGUGUUUCUAGGUUUCUUUUUUUAUAAGAAUGUGUAUUGUAAAUUUAUAAGAAACUAAUAUUUACCAAAACAUUUUGUAUUCUGCCGAAAGUUUUGAGAAGCUACACAAUUUUCAUUUGAACCUGCAAGGUUUACAUAUAAUUAUUUUGUUUGUUUCCUAAUGGGAUGAUGACUUUAAUACUACAAAAGGCACGAUAUCUGUACUUGCCAAUUCUCUGCUAGAUUCUACUCUAUAUUAUUUCAUUCUUUUCUACAGACCAGGUUGCGCACACUGAGGACGACAAGAGAUUACCAGCCGAGCUAUAUAGCUCAUUGCUUGCUUGUGGUCUGCAAAUUGUAUGUCAUGCCAUUUUAUGCUUCUUCUCUGCUGUUUUGAUUCUCUGAAAUGAUUGAGUGUGCACUAUUAUGGUCAUUGCAUAUAGGCGUUCGUGCUACGAGAGCUGUUGUUUAGCCUAUUAGGAGGGCACCACAUUUCAGUUAUCUCCCAUUUUCUGUUCUAUUACUACCAUCUCGCCACUUAGUUUUUGCACCUUUUCAAUUUGUUGGUAUGUGGUACCAAGUUUGAAUGUGGAUAACUUUAUUUCUUUGGUUGGGAAUACUCGUAACUAGUAGGCAACUUACGAUAACUUGUGCAGUUCUUAAACUAUCAGAUAAAUGAAACUGGAGGAAAUGAACGUGUGCUAUGGUAAGAAGCCAUUGACUUGUACAUCGAUUACAAAUAUAACCAGGACUUACUAUUCAGUUAAAGUUAUAUAUUGCAAAUUUGGUCUCACGUGCUUCAUUGUUUCAGCCUGACAGGAAAGAUGAGCUCACAUGAGCCCACAUGAGGGAAGCCAUCACUGGGGUGGCCAAUGAGCUAGUAUACUUCAUUUUGUUUCAGCCUGAAUAGAUGAAAACUUCAUUUUGUUUCAGCCUGACUAGAUGCUUUCUUCAGAUGUUGGACUGCCUUGCUGGCAUAUUUAUAGGCAGUGAUAACUUCUUAUUCAUAUUCUUUCAAACACCUGGGUGGUAAUUGAUCUUCCUGCCCACCUUCUCACAUGCUGAAGACUCUGAAUUGAAUCUGCAUUCCAAUAUUAUGAGUGCGCUCCAUCUGGUUAUUUUGGAAAACUGUAACAAAUUUCAUGUAAAGAUGACAAUAUCUACUUGGUUUUUUUGUCAUUGUCUUUUGAAACUGUAACUUUCUUUGAAGCUUUUUCAAGCUGUUAUUGAUGGAAGGGAAAGCCUAUGAUUCGACUGUA